This 758-nucleotide ribosomal RNA is filed under the name Heterocephalobus elongatus. RNAcentral describes it as "SSU rRNA". It matches the Rfam family "Eukaryotic small subunit ribosomal RNA", at positions 434 to 1201 of the family's 1831-position model. The record is from RNAcentral. Lineage: Eukaryota; Metazoa; Nematoda; Chromadorea; Rhabditida; Cephalobidae.
UCGCAAAUUACCCACUCUCAGCACGAGGAGGUAGUGACGAAAAAUAACGAGACCGUUCUCUUUCGAGGCCGGUCAUCGGAAUGGGUACAAUUUAAACCCUUUAACGAGUAUCUAUGAGAGGGCAAGUCUGGUGCCAGCAGCCGCGGUAAUUCCAGCUCUCAAAGUGCAUAGAAUUAUUGCUGCGGUUAAAAAGCUCGUAGUUGGAUCUGUGCCAUAGGACGGGGUCCACCUUCGGGUGCGUACUCUGCUCCUAGGCUUUUUGCUGGUUUUCCCGUCGUAGCCUUCACUGGUUGCGGCGGGUGGCUGGCGAGUUUACUUUGAGAAAAUCAGAGUGCUCAAUACAGGCGUCUUGCUUGAAUGAUUGUGCAUGGAAUAAUAGAAAAGGAUUUCGGUCCUCUUUUAUUGGUUUUGUGGACUGAGAUAAUGGUUAACAGGGACAAACGGGGGCAUUCGUAUCGCUGAGUGAGAGGUGAAAUUCUUGGACCGUAGCGAGACGCCCUACUGCGAAAGCAUUUGCCAAGAAUGUCUUCAUUAAUCAAGAACGAAAGUCAGAGGUUCGAAGGCGAUCAGAUACCGCCCUAGUUCUGACCGUAAACGAUGCCAACUAGCGAUCCGCCGGUGGAUUUUUAGCCCUGGUGGGUAGCUUCCCGGAAACGAAAGUCUUCCGGUUCCGGGGGAAGUAUGGUUGCAAAGCUGAAACUUAAAGGAAUUGACGGAAGGGCACCACCAGGGAGUGAGCCUGCGGCUUAAUUUGACUA